Molecule: ribosomal RNA, 496 nt
Filed under: uncultured bacterium
Lineage: Bacteria
Description: partial 16S ribosomal RNA
Rfam family: Bacterial small subunit ribosomal RNA
Source: RNAcentral
AUGAACGCUGGCGGCGUGCCUAAUACAUGCAAGUCGAGCGAACAGACGAGGAGCUUGCUCCUCUGACGUUAGCGGCGGACGGGUGAGUAACACGUGGAUAACCUACCUAUAAGACUGGGAUAACUUCGGGAAACCGGAGCUAAUACCGGAUAAUAUAUUGAACCGCCUGGUUCAAUAGUGAAAGACGGUUUUGCUGUCACUUAUAGAUGGAUCCGCGCCGCAUUAGCUAGUUGGUAAGGUAACGGCUUACCAAGGCAACGAUGCGUAGCCGACCUGAGAGGGUGAUCGGCCAAACUGGAACUGAGACACGGUCCAGACUCCUACGGGAGGCAGCAGUAGGGAAUCUUCCGCAAUGGGCGAAAGCCUGACGGAGCAACGCCGCGUGAGUGAUGAAGGUCUUCGGAUCGUAAAACUCUGUUAUUAGGGAAGAACAAAUGUGUAAGUAACUAUGCACGUCUUGACGGUACCUAAUCAGAAAGCCACGGCUAACUACGUG